GUAGGGGAACCUGCGGCUGGAUCACCUCCUUUCUAAGGAUGGUUCUUCAGAAGCUUGCUUCUAUCGAGCCGUUUUAGAAACAUCAGUGGCCAACGAUCGUCAGGAUCGUUGAGCUGCAUUGGCGGGAUUUCGCCGUCUUCGUUUCUCUUUCUUCGCGGACGAACACGCGCUGGGCCUGCGAGAGCAGGGUCCCUGGUCCUUGACGGGAUAUGCGUUAGGGGCUUGUAGCUCAGUUGGUUAGAGCGCGCGCUUGAUAAGCGUGAGGUCGGAAGUUCAAGUCUUCCCAGGCCCACCACACUCAUCGGGUAAGCAUUCGUCUUCUGGUUACGGGGCCAUAGCUCAGCUGGGAGAGCGCGUGCUUUGCAAGCAUGAGGUCGUCGGUUCGAUCCCGUCUGGCUCCACCAGAUGGUUUGAUCACCGAGGCUGUGUUUGCAGGUAUUCAACCGUCGUCCGCGAAACAUCACUUCGCACCUGCUAGUCUGGAUAGACAGUAAGGUGCGUGAUUUCUGACAUCGUAAAGAGGAGAUCGAUCCGAGUUGGAUCGGGCAGCAAGCAAUUGCUGCGCGAGCCUUCAUUAUCUCCGGAUCAUUUCGGCGCUCGCGCGCCUUUCAAUGCGGCUCACAAGGCUGCGUCUGAAGGGAAUGCGAGUUGUAAAUGAUCCUUUUAGCGAAGCUUGACCGCCUCGCUAUCGGAACGAUCUUACGAAGCAAGCUGGUCUUUCUAAUCAUUGUCCGGCUGUACGUAACGUUCAUCGAGGGCGCGUGCCGUAAGGCAAUCGUACAGACAACAUUCUGCCGAGUGUGUGGACAUUGAUAAUGAGAGC
This 823-nucleotide transfer RNA is filed under the name Bradyrhizobium sp. MAFF 210197. RNAcentral describes it as "partial contains 16S rRNA and ITS1". The stretch from base 219 to 292 matches the Rfam family "tRNA". Lineage: Bacteria; Pseudomonadati; Pseudomonadota; Alphaproteobacteria; Hyphomicrobiales; Nitrobacteraceae. RNAcentral also lists the same sequence under 1 other name. The record is from RNAcentral.